CCUUACCUCAUUACUGUGAAGCGAG
This 25-nucleotide non-coding RNA is filed under the name Cricetulus griseus (Chinese hamster). The record is from RNAcentral. Lineage: Eukaryota; Metazoa; Chordata; Mammalia; Rodentia; Cricetidae.